Molecule: non-coding RNA, 97 nt
Organism: Vibrio sp.
Lineage: Bacteria; Pseudomonadati; Pseudomonadota; Gammaproteobacteria; Vibrionales; Vibrionaceae
Source: Rfam
GUCUGUAGAGCACUAACCCACACACGUAUCGACACGAUUUCCUGGGUGCCUUUUGCCACGUGCAAGGGUUGGAGAUUGGGAUACGUGGAGGCCUAAC